This 1485-nucleotide ribosomal RNA is filed under the name uncultured eukaryote. RNAcentral describes it as "SSU rRNA". It matches the Rfam family "Eukaryotic small subunit ribosomal RNA", at positions 83 to 1659 of the family's 1831-position model. The record is from RNAcentral.
GAAACUGCGAAUGGCUCAUUAAAACAGAUACAGUUUAUUUGAUGGUCAUUAAGUAUAUGGAUAACUGUAGUAAUUCUAGAGCUAAUAUAAUACAUGCGCCCAGACCCGACUUCGUAGAAGGGUUGUGUUUAUUAGAUACUGAACCAACCCAGGCUCUGCCUGGUAUUGUUGUGAUUCAUAAUAACCUACCGAAUCGCAUGGCAUCCGCUGGCGAUAGAUCAUUCAAGUUUCUGACCUAUCAGCUUCCGACGGUAGGGUAUUGGCCUACCGUGGCAAUGACGGGUAACGGGGAAUUAGGGUUCGAUUCCGGCAGAGGGAGCCUGAGAAAGGGCUACCACAUCUAAGGGAGGUAAUGACAAGAAAUUACAAUACAGGGCAAUCAUGUCGUGUAAUUGGAAUGAGUAGAAUUUAAAUCCCUUUACGAGUAUCAAUUGGAGGGCAAGUCUGGUGCCAACAGCCGCUGUAAUUCCAGCUCCAGUAGAGUAUAUUCAAGUUGUUGCUGUUAAAAAGCUCGUAGUUGGAUUUCGGCUGAGGACGACCGGUCCGCCCUCUGGGUGAGUAUCUGGCUCGGCCUGGGCAUCUACUUGAAGAACGUAGCUGCACUUGACUGCGUGGUGCGGCAUCCAGGACUUUUACUUUAUGGAAAUUAGAGUGUUUCAAGCAGGCACACGCCUUGAAUACAUUAGCAUGGAAUAAUAAUAUAGGACCUCGGUUAUAUGUUGUUGGUUUCUAGAGCUGAGGUAAUGAUUACUAGUGAUAUUUAGUGGCAUUCGUAUUUAAUUGUCAGAGGUCAAAUUAUUGGAUGUGUUAAAGACGGACUACUGCGAAAGCAUUUGCCAGGGAUGUUUUCGUUGAUCAAGAACGAAAGUUAGGGGAUCGAAGACGAUCAGAUACCGCCCUAGUCUUAACCAUAAACCAUGCCGAUUAGAGAUUGGAGGUCGUUAUCUAUACGACUCCUUCAGCACAUUAUGAGAAAUCAAGGUCUUUUGGUUCCGGGGGGAGUAUUGUCGCAAUGCUGAAACUUAAAUGAAUUGACGGAAGUGCACCACCAGGAGUGGAGCCUCCGGCUUAAUUGGACUCAACGCAGGGAAACUUACCAGGUCCAGACAUAGUAAGGAUUGACUGAUUGAUAGCUCUUUUUUGAUUCUAUGGGUGGCGGUGCAUGGCCGUUCUUAGUUGGUGGAGUGAUUUGUCUUGCUAAUUCCGUUAACGAACGAGACCUUCACCUGCUACAUAAUUAGAUGUAACCUCGGUUACGUGGGCAACUUCUUAGAGGGACUUUGCGUGUCUAACGCAAGGAAGUUUGAGUGGGCUGCACACGCGCUACACUGAUGCGUUCAACGAGUUUAGGACCUUGCCCGAUAGGGUUUGGUAAUCUUUUUACAACGCAUCGUGAUGGGGAUAGAUCAUAGCAAUUAUUAUUCUUCAACGAGGAAUUCCUAGUAAGCACGAGUCAUCAGCUCGUGCUGAUUACGUCCCUGCCCU